Non-coding RNA from Salmo salar (Atlantic salmon), 54 nucleotides. The record is from Rfam. NCBI's taxonomy places the organism in Eukaryota, Metazoa, Chordata, Actinopteri, Salmoniformes, Salmonidae.
GUUACUACAAUUUGUAAGUCGCUCUGGAUAAGAGCGUCUGCUAAAUGACUUAAA